CUGCCAAGUCUUAAGUCUUCACAACCAGCGAUAAAAACCCUCUUCCCACUCUCUGGUGCUGUCAGCUCGACAUCCUACUUUUCACUCCCUUUUACAUCAUUCCUCUCCUGCUACCUGCUUUUCAGAUGCAGAUGAUUCUGAGGAUACUGAAACCAUCUUGCAUGUAUGAAGAUAAAAACAAAAUUACAGCUGGCCAGGCAGAAAGGUAUAAGAAUAUCACUUUUAUAUAAUAUGAAUAUUUUCAGAAUGAGUGGAGGAAGACCGGCUCAUUAUGCAAAUGGAGAAGGGGCUGUCAUACAGUCCUCGACAUGCUCUUGUUUUGACAACAGCCCUCCUGCCUUGGUCCCUCCAGCCUUGACCCUAAGUAGCUUCCUGUUUUUGCUUAUCUCUGAGUUCACCUGCAAUUUCAGGUGGGUUUUCAGUUCUUGGUAACCAAUGUCCACCUUAAAUUCCCUUGUUUUAAAUAUUCAAAUUGGUCUCUUCUUUCUGGCUGAACCUGACUCAACCAGCACUAAGUCUUUUGGUCAUGGACAAUGGAAAUAGACCCUGACAUAUAGCCAAGAAGGAGUGAUGGUGAAACAAAGGGACAGAAGGACAGGGAAGGGAUUAAUGGCAAGACACUGAUGACAGCAGAGGAUGGUGCUUUUCCUGUCCAAUUCUGUAACACAGUGCCGAUACUGUAAAACAAGAGAAGGAAGGACCAGUGGCACCGUGAAACCACACAAAAUAAAUUCUACCCCAUGUCCCA
RNAcentral lists this long non-coding RNA (748 nucleotides) under Vulpes vulpes (red fox). Its description in RNAcentral is "lncRNA (ENSVVUG00000025475.1)". Lineage: Eukaryota; Metazoa; Chordata; Mammalia; Carnivora; Canidae. The record is from RNAcentral.